AUGAAAAUCAGUGGUUGGAAGGAAAAGUUGCUAUCAGCAGGAGGAAAGGAAAUCCUUCUCAAAUCGGUUGUACAAGCUAUCCCAACUUAUGCAAUGUCCGUCUUUAAAAUUCCUAAAAAGAUUUGUAAAGGAAUCAUUGACGCGAUGUCGCAUUUUUGGUGGGGUGACGAAGAUAAUCAGAAGAGAAUGCAUUGGAUGGCAUGGUGGAAGAUGUGUGUACCAAAAGAACAAGGAGGAAUGGGUUUUCGAGACAUACAUUGUUUCAAUCAGGCCUUGUUAGCCAAACAAGCGUGGCGCCUGCUUGAUAAUCCUGAUUCCCUAUGUGCCACCAUUUUGAGAGCUAAAUAUUUUCCAGAUGGAGAUUUA
RNAcentral lists this ribosomal RNA (366 nucleotides) under Triticum aestivum (bread wheat). Its description in RNAcentral is "partial small subunit ribosomal RNA". The record is from RNAcentral. Lineage: Eukaryota; Viridiplantae; Streptophyta; Magnoliopsida; Poales; Poaceae.